AGUUUCACAGCAUUAAUUUAUUAAAGGACCAAAACAGAAGACACAGCAUAUUCAGGAAAGGAGAUACUUAAGGCAAACAUAGAGCUUCCCUAAGGACUUUCUUCAGCAGCCAAAGAAUGCUGUCCAGUAUUAGACUCAAGAGGGGUUUUGUCAGAGCACCUGACAGCCACCUUGAGAAUAGAUUUUACAAUGAGGUCCAAGGACUUGACCCUGAGAUCUGUGAGUUAUCCCAUCAAUACGCUAUGAUACAAGCUGUGUACAUACAGCCUGUGUGGAAUACAGUUGUACUAUAUAAUGGAGAUUGGCAUGCCAGGAAGUGAAGAC
Long non-coding RNA from Ochotona princeps (American pika), 324 nucleotides. RefSeq lists it as uncharacterized. The transcript is spliced from 4 exons. Lineage: Eukaryota; Metazoa; Chordata; Mammalia; Lagomorpha; Ochotonidae. The record is from RefSeq and is a predicted model, not a curated record.